Molecule: ribosomal RNA, 253 nt
Filed under: uncultured bacterium
Lineage: Bacteria
Description: partial 16S ribosomal RNA
Rfam family: Bacterial small subunit ribosomal RNA
Source: RNAcentral
UACAGAGGUCUCAAGCGUUGUUCGGAUUCAUUGGGCGUAAAGGGUGUGUAGGUGGCGCCGUAAGUCGGGCGUGAAAUUUCGGAGCUUAACUCCGAAACUGCAUUCGAUACUGCCGUGCUUGAGGACUGGAGAGGAGACUGGAAUUUACGGUGUAGCGGUGAAAUGCGUAGAUAUCGUAAGGAAGACCAGUGGCGAAGGCGGGUCUCUGGACAGUUCCUGACGCUGAGGCACGAAGGUCAGGGGAGCAAACGGG